GAUGAACGCUGGCGGCGUGCCUAAUACAUGCAAGUCGAGCGAACGGACGAGAAGCUUGCUUCUCUGAUGUUAGCGGCGGACGGGUGAGUAACACGUGGAUAACCUACCUAUAAGACUGGGAUAACUUCGGGAAACCGGAGCUAAUACCGGAUAAUAUUUUGAACCGCAUGGUUCAAAAGUGAAAGACGGUCUUGCUGUCACUUAUAGAUGGAUCCGCGCUGCAUUAGCUAGUUGGUAAGGUAACGGCUUACCAAGGCAACGAUGCAUAGCCGACCUGAGAGGGUGAUCGGCCACACUGGAACUGAGACACGGUCCAGACUCCUACGGGAGGCAGCAGUAGGGAAUCUUCCGCAAUGGGCGAAAGCCUGACGGAGCAACGCCGCGUGAGUGAUGAAGGUCUUCGGAUCGUAAAACUCUGUUAUUAGGGAAGAACAUAUGUGUAAGUAACUGUGCACAUCUUGACGGUACCUAAUCAGAAAGCCACGGCUAACUACGUGCCAGCAGCCGCGGUAAUACGUAGGUGGCAAGCGUUAUCCGGAAUUAUUGGGCGUAAAGCGCGCGUAGCCGGUUUUUUAAGUCUGAUGUGAAAGCCCACGGCUCAACCGUGGAGGGUCAUUGGAAACUGGAAAACUUGAGUGCAGAAGGGGAAAGUGGAAUUCCAUGUGUAGCGGUGAAAUGCGCAGAGAUAUGGAGGAACACCAGUGGCGAAGGCGACUUUCUGGUCUGUAACUGACGCUGAUGUGCGAAAGCGUGGGGAUCAAACAGGAUUAGAUACCCUGGUAGUCCACGCCGUAAACGAUGAGUGCUAAGUGUUAGGGGGUUUCCGCCCCUUAGUGCUGCAGCUAACGCAUUAAGCACUCCGCCUGGGGAGUACGACCGCAAGGUUGAAACUCAAAGGAAUUGACGGGGACCCGCACAAGCGGUGGAGCAUGUGGUUUAAUUCGAAGCAACGCGAAGAACCUUACCAAAUCUUGACAUCCUUUGACAACUCUAGAGAUAGAGCUUUCCCCUUCGGGGGACAAAGUGACAGGUGGUGCAUGGUUGUCGUCAGCUCGUGUCGUGAGAUGUUGGGUUAAGUCCCGCAACGAGCGCAACCCUUAAGCUUAGUUGCCAUCAUUAAGUUGGGCACUCUAAGUUGACUGCCGGUGACAAACCGGAGGAAGGUGGGGAUGACGUCAAACCAUCAUGCCCCUUAUGAUUUGGGCUACACACGUGCUACAAUGGACAAUACAAAGGGCAGCGAAACCGCGAGGUCAAGCAAAUCCCAUAAAGUUGUUCUCAGUUCGGAUUGUAGUCUGCAACUCGACUACAUGAAGCUGGAAUCGCUAGUAAUCGUAGAUCAGCAUGCUACGGUGAAUACGUUCCCGGGUCU
Molecule: ribosomal RNA, 1372 nt
Filed under: uncultured bacterium
Lineage: Bacteria
Description: bacterial SSU rRNA
Rfam family: Bacterial small subunit ribosomal RNA
Source: RNAcentral